UAGCUAGUUGGUGAGGUAAAGGCUUACCAAGGCGACGAUCUGUAGCGGGUCUGAGAGGAUGAUCCGCCACACUGGAACUGAGACACGGUCCAGACUCCUACGGGAGGCAGCAGUGGGGAAUUUUGGACAAUGGGGGCAACCCUGAUCCAGCCAUGCCGCGUGAGUGAAGAAGGCCUUCGGGUUGUAAAGCUCUUUCGGCCGGGAAGAAAUCGCAUGGGCCAAUACCCUGUGUGGAUGACGGUACCGGAAUAAGAAGCACCGGCUAACUACGUGCCAGCAGCCGCGGUAAUACGUAGGGUGCGAGCGUUAAUCGGAAUUACUGGGCGUAAAGCGUGCGCAGGCGGUUUUGUAAGACAGGCGUGAAAUCCCCGGGCUUAACCUGGGAACUGCGUUUGUGACUGCAAGGCUAGAGUACGGCAGAGGGGGGUGGAAUUCCACGUGUAGCAGUGAAAUGCGUAGAGAUGUUGAGGAACACCAAUGGCGAAGGCAGCCCCCUGGGUCGAUACUGACGCUCAUGCACGAAAGCGUGGGUAGCAAACAGGAUUAGAUACCCUGGUAGUCCACGCCCUAAACUAUGUCAACUAGGUGUUGGGUGGGUAAAACCAUUUAGUACCGUAGCUAACGCGUGAAGUUGACCGCCUGGGGAGUACGGCCGCAAGGUUAAAACUCAAAGGAAUUGACGGGGACCCGCACAAGCGGUGGAUGAUGUGGAUUAAUUCGAUGCAACGCGAAAAACCUUACCUACCCUUGACAUGCCAGGAACUUGCCAGAGAUGGCUUGGUGCCCGAAAGGGAGCCUGGACACAGGUGCUGCAUGGCUGUCGUCAGCUCGUGUCGUGAGAUGUUGGGUUAAGUCCCGCAACGAGCGCAACCCUUGUCGUUAAUUGCCAUCAUUUAGUUGGGCACUUUAACGAGACUGCCGGUGACAAACCGGAGGAAGGUGGGGAUGACGUCAAGUCCUCAUGGCCCUUAUGGGUAGGGCUUCACACGUCAUACAAUGGUCGGUACAAAGGGUUGCCAAGCCGCGAGGCGGAGCCAAUCCCAGAAAGCCGAUCGUAGUCCGGAUUGCAGGCUGCAACUCGCCUGCAUGAAGUCGGAAUCGCUAGUAAUCGUGGAUCAGCAUGUCACGGUGAAUACGUUCCCGGGUCUUGUACACACCGCCCGUCACACCAUGGGAGCGGGUUCCGCCAGAAGUAGGUAGCCUAACCGCAAGGGGGGCGCUUACCACGGCGGGGUUCGUGACUGGGGUGAAGUCGGAACAAGGUAGCCGUAGGGGAACCUGCGGCUG
Molecule: ribosomal RNA, 1287 nt
Filed under: metagenome
Description: bacterial SSU rRNA
Rfam family: Bacterial small subunit ribosomal RNA
Source: RNAcentral